GAUUAUGGCUCAGGAUGAACGCUAGCUACAGGCUUAACACAUGCAAGUCGAGGGGCAGCAUUGGGAUAGCUUGCUAUUCAGAUGGCGACCGGCGCACGGGUGAGUAACGCGUAUCCAACCUUCCUGCCAGUAGGGAACAGCCCGGCGAAAGUCGGAUUAAUGCCCUAUGUUCUUCAAUGCGGACAUCUAAGUUGAAGGAAAGAUUCAUCGCUGGCAGAUGGGGAUGCGUCCGAUUAGCUUGCCGGCGGGGUAACGGCCCACCGGGGCGACGAUCGGUAGGGGUUCUGAGAGGAAGGUCCCCCACACUGGUACUGAGACACGGACCAGACUCCUACGGGAGGCAGCAGUGAGGAAUAUUGGUCAAUGGGCGUAAGCCUGAACCAGCCAAGUAGCGUGCAAGGAUGACGGCCCUACGGGUUGUAAACUGUCUUUUAUGCGGGGAUAAAGUGCGGCACGUGUGCCGCUUUGCAGGUACCGCAUGAAUAAGGACCGGCUAAUUCCGUGCCAGCCGCCGC
This 515-nucleotide ribosomal RNA is filed under the name uncultured bacterium. RNAcentral's name for it is "bacterial SSU rRNA". It matches the Rfam family "Bacterial small subunit ribosomal RNA", at positions 15 to 518 of the family's 1533-position model. The record is from RNAcentral.